CCCCUCUCAGGGUCACACCUGGAGAGUUUCCAGUACUCUACCAGUCUCAGCCACGGGAGGGAGGGUCAAGCAGAGGCAUACCCAUUCUAUUCCUAGCUUGGGCAGUGGCUAGCGAGUGGAAGGCAAUCUGCUACAAGU
This 138-nucleotide small nucleolar RNA is filed under the name Ornithorhynchus anatinus (platypus). The record is from RNAcentral. Lineage: Eukaryota; Metazoa; Chordata; Mammalia; Monotremata; Ornithorhynchidae.